AUGGUCUCCUAUUGCCACGUCAUCCCAGGCGCUCGUUCGGGUUGGAGGCGAUUUCACACGAUCGAUUUUUUUCUCGCCCCAGGUACCUUAUCCUUUUCCCCCGAGCACUACCUCACCUACUCGGUCUCACAUUAUCAUUCCGGCGAUUACAACGGCGAGUCCUUCUGCCGAUUCGAGGGGCAGCGGGUGGCGCACGAGUGCAGCGGCGAGGAUGCAGGACGGCUGCGUCCAUGCGAUAGGGCGACGCCCACCGGGCACCACGCUGCGGCCCUGCGGGAGGAGGCGGCGACGAGGAUGCGGCCCGCGGGAGGGAGGCGGUGGCCGGCAGAAGCUAUUCCGACGACUUGGGAGCUCCUCCUGCACGGCCAGGACGGCGCCCGGCACCACGCGCGAGCAAGCCGCGUCCGGGAGUGCGAGCAGCGUGGCGCUCAUGGUCGCGCCCGCCACCCACAUCCUGGCGCCGCGGCGUUGUCAGCGGGGGCCCGUUCGCGGCAUUGCUUUGCCGGGUCGCGCGAGUGCGGCGAUGAUGAUGGAGAGGGCUGCAUUGGGCGGCCACGGAGCUGGUAG
RNAcentral lists this ribosomal RNA (567 nucleotides) under Triticum aestivum (bread wheat). RNAcentral's name for it is "partial small subunit ribosomal RNA". Lineage: Eukaryota; Viridiplantae; Streptophyta; Magnoliopsida; Poales; Poaceae. The record is from RNAcentral.